UUUCAUUCUCUCUCGCCCAAACUCUAUCUCCCAGCUCUUCCUUUUCAAGCUCACCAUUCCUCUUCAUCUUGGCUAUGGAUGGACUUAACAAAUGUAGAAUAAAGGGUUGAAAGGUUUGAGGUUG
Long non-coding RNA from Capsicum annuum, 124 nucleotides. RefSeq lists it as uncharacterized. The record is from RefSeq and is a predicted model, not a curated record. Lineage: Eukaryota; Viridiplantae; Streptophyta; Magnoliopsida; Solanales; Solanaceae. The transcript is spliced from 2 exons.